Molecule: long non-coding RNA, 1005 nt
Filed under: Homo sapiens (human)
Lineage: Eukaryota; Metazoa; Chordata; Mammalia; Primates; Hominidae
Description: non-protein coding lnc-PCLAF-6:1
Source: RNAcentral
AUGGGUAAGGUGAAGGUCAGAGUCAACAGAUUUGGUCGUACUGGGUGCCUGGUGCACCAUGACUGCUUUUAACUCUGGUAAAGUGGAUAUUGUUGCCAUCAAUGACCCCUUCAUUGACCUCAACUACAUGGUCUACAUGUUCCUGUAUGAUUCUACACAUGGCAAAUUCCAUGGCACCGUCAAGGCUGAGAACGGGACGCUUGUCAUCAAUGGAAACCCCAUCACCCAUUUUCCAGGACCAAGAUCCCUCCAAAAUCAAAUGGGGUGAUGCUGGCGCUGAGUACGUCGUAGAGUUCACUGGUGUCUUCACCACCAUGGAGAAGGCUGGGGCUCACUUGCAGGGGGGAGCCAAAAGGGUCAACAUCUCUGUCCUCUCUGUUGAUGCCCCCAUGUUUGUGAUGGGCGUGAACCAUGAGAAGUAUGACAACAGCCUCAAGAUCGUCAGCAAUGCCUCCUGCAUCACCAACUGCUUAGCGCCCCAGCCAAGGUCAUCCAUGACAACUUUGGUAUCAUAGAAGGAUUCAUGACCACAGUUCACACCAUCACUGCCACCCAGACUAUAAAUGGCCCCUCCGGGAAACUGUCACGUGAUGGCUGCAGGGCUCUCCAGGACAUCAUCCCUGUCUCUACUGGCGCUGCCAAGCCUGUGGGUAAGGUCAUCCCUGAGCUGAACGGGAAGCUCACUGGCAUGGCCUUCCAUGUCCCCACUGCCAAUGUGUCAGUGGCGGACCUGACCUGUCGUCUGGAAAAACCUGCCAAUAUGAUGACAUCAAGAAGGUGGUGAAGUAGGCAUCGGAGGGCCCCCUCAAGAGCAUCCUGGGCUACAAUGAGCACCAGAUGGUCUCCUUCGACUUCAACAGCAACACCCACUCUUCUACCUUCGAUGCUGGGGCAGCCAUUGUCCUCAAGGACCACUCUGUCAAGCUAAUUUCCUGGUAUGACAAUGAAUUUGGCUACAGCAACAGGGUGGUGCACCUCAUGGCCCACAAUGCCUCCAAGGAGUAA